RNAcentral lists this unclassified non-coding RNA (852 nucleotides) under Hevea brasiliensis (rubber tree). The record is from RNAcentral. Lineage: Eukaryota; Viridiplantae; Streptophyta; Magnoliopsida; Malpighiales; Euphorbiaceae.
UUUCACAUGAGCAACCCCUAAAACUCAACGCGUAAUAACAACUACAGAGCAUUUCGCAAAGAGUAAACAAGGAAAAUUCUCACGGUGGAUAUGCUCCAUCCAGUUUACUUCAAGAUCGUAUUGAUGACGCCGGCACCGACGGUCUUUCCACCCUCACGGAUGGCAAACCUCAUUCCCUGCUCACAAGCGACGGGCUGGAUGAGCUCCACAACCAUCUUGACACGGUCACCAGGCAUGCACAUCUUCGCCUCCUCGUCCUUGUCGUUCAUAAUCUUUGUGACAUUCCCCGUCACAUCGGUAGUCCGCAUGUAGAACUGAGGGCGGUAACCAGGGAAAAACGGUGAGUGCCGUCCACCCUCGUCCUUCUUCAGGACAUACACAACCGCAUCAAACUUGGUGUGUGGCGUGAUGGAAGCAGGCUUCGCAAGCACCAUGCCUCUCUCGAUAUCAUCCUUCUGCAUACCUCGGAGAAGCAGGCCGACAUUGUCCCCAGCCAUCGCAUCAUCCAUGGUCUUCUGGAACAUCUCAACACCAGUCACCGUGCAGUUGCGAGUCUCCCGGAUACCGACGAUAUCGACCGUGUCCCCAACCUUGACGGUGCCACGCUCAAUACGGCCAGUGGCAACGGUACCACGACCGGUGAUGGAGAACACAUCCUCAACAGCAAGCAAGAACGGGAGGUCGGUCUGGCGCUGUGGGACAGGGAUGUAGUUAUCCACGGAAUCAAUCAACGAGAAGAUCCCGUCCACCCACUCAUCAUCGCCGCGCUUAAUGGCAGGGUUGGCCAUGAGGUUCUCGAGCGCCUUGAGCGCGGAGCCAGCGACGAUGGGCACUUCGUCGCCAUCGUACUCG